Molecule: ribosomal RNA, 730 nt
Filed under: Hansenula anomala
Lineage: Eukaryota; Fungi; Ascomycota; Saccharomycetes; Phaffomycetales; Wickerhamomycetaceae
Description: LSU rRNA
Rfam family: Eukaryotic large subunit ribosomal RNA (bases 113-730)
Source: RNAcentral
ACUAAUAAGCAGUCUUUCUGAAAUAAUGUAUUAGGUUCUUCCAACUCGUUAUAUCAGCUAGGCAGGUUUAGAAGUAUUUUAGGCUCGGCUUAACAACAAUAAACUAAAAGUUUGACCUCAAAUCAGGUAGGACUACCCGCUGAACUUAAGCAUAUCAAUAAGCGGAGGAAAAGAAACCAACAGGGAUUGCCUCAGUAACGGCGAGUGAAGCGGCAAAAGCUCAAAUUUGAAAUCUAGCACCUUCGGUGUUCGAGUUGUAAUUUGAAGAUGGUAACCUUGGGUUUGGCUCUUGUCUAUGUUCCUUGGAACAGGACGUCAUAGAGGGUGAGAAUCCCGUCUGAUGAGAUGCCCAUUCCUAUGUAAGGUGCUAUCGAAGAGUCGAGUUGUUUGGGAAUGCAGCUCUAAGUGGGUGGUAAAUUCCAUCUAAAGCUAAAUAUUGGCGAGAGACCGAUAGCGAACAAGUACAGUGAUGGAAAGAUGAAAAGAACUUUGAAAAGAGAGUGAAAAAGUACGUGAAAUUGUUGAAAGGGAAGGGCAUUAGAUCAGACUUGGUGUUUUACGAUUAUCUUCUCUUCUUGAGUUGUGCACUCGUAUUUCACUGGGCCAGCAUCGAUUCGGAUGGCAAGAUAAUGGCAGUUGAAUGUGGCUUCACUUCGGUGGAGUGUUAUAGCUUCUGCUGAUAUUGCCUGUCUGGAUCGAGGGCUGCGUCUUUUGACUAGGAUGCUGGAAU